This 253-nucleotide ribosomal RNA is filed under the name uncultured bacterium. RNAcentral's name for it is "partial 16S ribosomal RNA". It matches the Rfam family "Bacterial small subunit ribosomal RNA", at positions 524 to 776 of the family's 1533-position model. The record is from RNAcentral.
UACGGGGGGGGCAAGCGUUGUUCGGAAUUACUGGGCGUAAAGGGCUCGUAGGCGGCCAACUAAGUCAGACGUGAAAUCCCUCGGCUUAACCGGGGAACUGCAUCUGAUACUGGAUGGCUUGAGUUUGGGAGAGGGACGCGGAAUUCCAGGUGUAGCGGUGAAAUGCGUAGAUAUCUGGAGGAACACCGGUGGCGAAGGCGGCGUCCUGGACCAACACUGACACUGAGGAGCGAAAGCCAGGGGAGCAAACGGG